This is a long non-coding RNA of Hippocampus zosterae (dwarf seahorse), 1500 nucleotides long. RefSeq lists it as uncharacterized. The record is from RefSeq and is a predicted model, not a curated record. The transcript is spliced from 3 exons. Lineage: Eukaryota; Metazoa; Chordata; Actinopteri; Syngnathiformes; Syngnathidae.
AGUAUAGAGACAAGAUAGUCGCGCCUUGACCCCCCUCCCCAGUCAAAGCACACACACAUUCAUUUCUGAGGUGUGCUCAUUUUUGCGUGCGUUCCAUCAUGCUGCAUCCCCUAAUAAUCGGCAUCAUGACCGUCAACACCUCUCUCACCGUCGUCUACUGGACCUUCCUCUUGGGCGACUUCUACUUCAAGUGGAUGAUGGAGCCCGAGGACAAGCCCAAGAAGGUGGUCACCCCCGCCUGAGGGUCCGAAAUGAGCCCACCUGAGCUAAAGUGUUGUUUGCGUCUAGGACAAUAGGCAGCUUUUAGAGAUUUUCUUUUGGGGAUUAUUAUUAUUUUUUUUUCUGGAGAAUAUUCCAGAUUCACAGUGAGAAGAAGGAGUCAAUGAAACAGAUGCGCCGGACGUCCACUAAUUUAGAAAACCUUUUCUUGAGGAAAAGCUCGACAAAUCUUGAUUUCCAGACUGGAUUCUCGGCCCCAAACAGGUGGAGGAUGGUUGUGAGCCAGACGGAACAGCAAUAGAAGAUGAAAAGCAGCCGAGUGUGUGUGUGUGGUCAUCCGACGGAGAGAGAGAGCAAAUGAAAAUGGAGGAAGAGAACGAAAGAAAGAUGUUGCCAUGUUGCCAGCAUCCAUCCAGCCCUCCUCCUCCUCCUCCCAGAAGCAUCGUCCGUUCGUUCCGAGAAGAUCCUCCCAUGGCGUGCCGGUGAAAUGCCCGCUUGAGCCCUGAUGUCACCUCCCCUUUAUGUCCAUUGUCCAAUCAUAGCAAUCUCUGCAGUGAAGUAAAUGCGUUUGUCGUCUUCUUUGGCUGCAUAUAGCCGACUUCAUUUGCAGAUAAUGAGCGCAAACCUUCCGUGAUUACACUUCCAUUAUGAAAUCCGUCCCUAUUGUGAAUAAUUCUCCAUUGCACCCCGAUCACAAACGAUGAUGACAUCGUAGGUGUGAAACUCAGGUCCUGGAGGGCCGCCGUCCUGCAUGUUUUCCAAGUGUCCCUGUUGCAACGCACCUGAUUCAGAUCAUCAGCAAGCUCUGCGCAAGCCUGACGUUGAACCUGUUCGUUUGAAUCGGGUGUGUUGCAACAGGGAGACUUGGAAUGUCAAGUCAAGUCAACCGUAUUUCUCGAGCACUUUCAAACGGCCAUCGCUGCAUACAAAGUGCUGUACAUGGAGCAAUUUAACAUGCACAAUAAACAGUAAGACAAAUCGGUAAUAAAAGGCGGUAGAAAGCACCAAACGGUAAAAUCAAGAACAAAUUUAAGUCAUGCUGAGUCGAAUGCCAAAGAAUACAAGUGAGCAACAUGCAGGACAGUGGCCCUCCAGGACCUGAGUCUGACACCUAUGCAACAUGCACCCCCCCCCCAAAAAAAAAAAAAACGACGAUGUGACAUUGAUAUUGAAUGAAAAAAAAAGACAACAAAAAGUUAUACUGUAUUGUAUUCAAUACAAUUUCCUGGUCCUGUCAUAUGAAGCUCCCCCCCCCCCCCAGUAAACAACUUAACAAUACAA